Molecule: ribosomal RNA, 351 nt
Filed under: Triticum aestivum (bread wheat)
Lineage: Eukaryota; Viridiplantae; Streptophyta; Magnoliopsida; Poales; Poaceae
Description: partial small subunit ribosomal RNA
Source: RNAcentral
AUGAAUAUUCUAGCCUGGAACUGUCGGGGAUUGGGGUUGGACUCGACAGUGGGCGAACUUAGAGACCUGAUUAGGUCCUACAACCCAGCGGUGGUGUUCCUAAGUGAGACUAAGAAAAAAGCAAGGGCGAUGGAGAGACUAAGGUGGAGGCUAGGUUUUAAGGAAGGUGUGGCAGUGGACUGCAAUGGAAAAAGUGGAGGACUCGCUUUGUGGUGGAGGGAUAAUGUUCAAGUCACAGUCAAGCCUUGGUGUCAGUAUUUCAUUGAUAUAAAUGCUGUGUUUAAGGGCAAAACCAUGCGAAUCACUGGAUUCUAUGGUGAACCCCGUACUGAAUUGAGGGAGAAAUCCUAG